RNAcentral lists this ribosomal RNA (2387 nucleotides) under Escherichia coli. Its description in RNAcentral is "partial 23S ribosomal RNA". It matches the Rfam family "Bacterial large subunit ribosomal RNA", at positions 344 to 2719 of the family's 2925-position model. The record is from RNAcentral. Lineage: Bacteria; Pseudomonadati; Pseudomonadota; Gammaproteobacteria; Enterobacterales; Enterobacteriaceae.
GGAAAGGCGCGCGAUACAGGGUGACAGCCCCGUACACAAAAAUGCACAUGCUGUGAGCUCGAUGAGUAGGGCGGGACACGUGGUAUCCUGUCUGAAUAUGGGGGGACCAUCCUCCAAGGCUAAAUACUCCUGACUGACCGAUAGUGAACCAGUACCGUGAGGGAAAGGCGAAAAGAACCCCGGCGAGGGGAGUGAAAAAGAACCUGAAACCGUGUACGUACAAGCAGUGGGAGCACGCUUAGGCGUGUGACUGCGUACCUUUUGUAUAAUGGGUCAGCGACUUAUAUUCUGUAGCAAGGUUAACCGAAUAGGGGAGCCGAAGGGAAACCGAGUCUUAACUGGGCGUUAAGUUGCAGGGUAUAGACCCGAAACCCGGUGAUCUAGCCAUGGGCAGGUUGAAGGUUGGGUAACACUAACUGGAGGACCGAACCGACUAAUGUUGAAAAAUUAGCGGAUGACUUGUGGCUGGGGGUGAAAGGCCAAUCAAACCGGGAGAUAGCUGGUUCUCCCCGAAAGCUAUUUAGGUAGCGCCUCGUGAAUUCAUCUCCGGGGGUAGAGCACUGUUUCGGCAAGGGGGUCAUCCCGACUUACCAACCCGAUGCAAACUGCGAAUACCGGAGAAUGUUAUCACGGGAGACACACGGCGGGUGCUAACGUCCGUCGUGAAGAGGGAAACAACCCAGACCGCCAGCUAAGGUCCCAAAGUCAUGGUUAAGUGGGAAACGAUGUGGGAAGGCCCAGACAGCCAGGAUGUUGGCUUAGAAGCAGCCAUCAUUUAAAGAAAGCGUAAUAGCUCACUGGUCGAGUCGGCCUGCGCGGAAGAUGUAACGGGGCUAAACCAUGCACCGAAGCUGCGGCAGCGACGCUGAUGCGUUGUUGGGUAGGGGAGCGUUCUGUAAGCCUGCGAAGGUGUGCUGUGAGGCAUGCUGGAGGUAUCAGAAGUGCGAAUGCUGACAUAAGUAACGAUAAAGCGGGUGAAAAGCCCGCUCGCCGGAAGACCAAGGGUUCCUGUCCAACGUUAAUCGGGGCAGGGUGAGUCGACCCCUAAGGCGAGGCCGAAAGGCGUAGUCGAUGGGAAACAGGUUAAUAUUCCUGUACUUGGUGUUACUGCGAAGGGGGGACGGAGAAGGCUAUGUUGGCCGGGCGACGGUUGUCCCGGUUUAAGCGUGUAGGCUGGUUUUCCAGGCAAAUCCGGAAAAUCAAGGCUGAGGCGUGAUGACGAGGCACUACGGUGCUGAAGCAACAAAUGCCCUGCUUCCAGGAAAAGCCUCUAAGCAUCAGGUAACAUCAAAUCGUACCCCAAACCGACACAGGUGGUCAGGUAGAGAAUACCAAGGCGCUUGAGAGAACUCGGGUGAAGGAACUAGGCAAAAUGGUGCCGUAACUUCGGGAGAAGGCACGCUGAUAUGUAGGUGAAGUCCCUCGCGGAUGGAGCUGAAAUCAGUCGAAGAUACCAGCUGGCUGCAACUGUUUAUUAAAAACACAGCACUGUGCAAACACGAAAGUGGACGUAUACGGUGUGACGCCUGCCCGGUGCCGGAAGGUUAAUUGAUGGGGUUAGCGCAAGCGAAGCUCUUGAUCGAAGCCCCGGUAAACGGCGGCCGUAACUAUAACGGUCCUAAGGUAGCGAAAUUCCUUGUCGGGUAAGUUCCGACCUGCACGAAUGGCGUAAUGAUGGCCAGGCUGUCUCCACCCGAGACUCAGUGAAAUUGAACUCGCUGUGAAGAUGCAGUGUACCCGCGGCAAGACGGAAAGACCCCGUGAACCUUUACUAUAGCUUGACACUGAACAUUGAGCCUUGAUGUGUAGGAUAGGUGGGAGGCUUUGAAGUGUGGACGCCAGUCUGCAUGGAGCCGACCUUGAAAUACCACCCUUUAAUGUUUGAUGUUCUAACGUUGACCCGUAAUCCGGGUUGCGGACAGUGUCUGGUGGGUAGUUUGACUGGGGCGGUCUCCUCCUAAAGAGUAACGGAGGAGCACGAAGGUUGGCUAAUCCUGGUCGGACAUCAGGAGGUUAGUGCAAUGGCAUAAGCCAGCUUGACUGCGAGCGUGACGGCGCGAGCAGGUGCGAAAGCAGGUCAUAGUGAUCCGGUGGUUCUGAAUGGAAGGGCCAUCGCUCAACGGAUAAAAGGUACUCCGGGGAUAACAGGCUGAUACCGCCCAAGAGUUCAUAUCGACGGCGGUGUUUGGCACCUCGAUGUCGGCUCAUCACAUCCUGGGGCUGAAGUAGGUCCCAAGGGUAUGGCUGUUCGCCAUUUAAAGUGGUACGCGAGCUGGGUUUAGAACGUCGUGAGACAGUUCGGUCCCUAUCUGCCGUGGGCGCUGGAGAACUGAGGGGGGCUGCUCCUAGUACGAGAGGACCGGAGUGGACGCAUCACUGGUGUUCGG